This 274-nucleotide long non-coding RNA is filed under the name Elaeis guineensis (African oil palm). Its description in RNAcentral is "long non-coding RNA (EGUI_LNC023064)". Lineage: Eukaryota; Viridiplantae; Streptophyta; Magnoliopsida; Arecales; Arecaceae. The record is from RNAcentral.
CCGCCGUAGUUGCCUUCAUCCGCUCCCUAAGUUAUGGGCAAUCUUUGACUCGAUGCUCCAACUCAUCACAUCUAUAAUAUCUGAUCUUGCUAUAGUCCCUUGACUUAAAUCUAGACUACCUAUCUUGUGAUCCUGUGUCGCUUCAUCCUCUGCUACCACCACCUCUAAUCACCAUCAAAGUCAAGUCGCCACCUGAAUUCGAAGCUCGAUUCUCUCACCUGAAAAUCUCAUUCUGGAGAAGUGUAGAAGUGACCUCAUCCAUCUUGAUGGUGUU